Molecule: long non-coding RNA, 432 nt
Filed under: Cicer arietinum (chickpea)
Lineage: Eukaryota; Viridiplantae; Streptophyta; Magnoliopsida; Fabales; Fabaceae
Description: long non-coding RNA (CARI_LNC000952)
Source: RNAcentral
UUCCACACGCUUUCAAAAAAUAAAUAUUGAAAAUUUUCUUCCAACUUGCAACCAUGUAAGCAUAGAUAUGAUAGAACAAGUUAACCUUUGUUAGAACUUAGAAGCCUAUUUUGAACUAGACGCCAAGCAAAUCUUGAAGAGGUAAUGGCUCCUCGAUCAUAUCUUGAGUGAGCAUCACUAUGGUCAAGCCCACUUGUUUCAUACAUUUUAUUGCAAUCAAAUGUUAGCCAACAACUAAGGUGAGUCCGUUUGGUCCAACGUUGGAUUCAGCAUGAAUAAUUAAGUGAAGUAUCUAGCUAGAUACUAGUAGAUUUUGAGGCGGUGUAAUUACUUGCUCUUUGUUUAUCAUUGGUAAUGUUGUAAACAUCUUUCUUUGUUCAAUUCAAGUUUGAGUACAUUUGUUUAUAUUCAAACUUAAUACUUGUUACACAG